AGGCCAGCUGUGUUACUUUGGGGCCGGGGGUGGUCCCGCACAGCCUCCGGCAGCCCCAGGUCACUAAGAGUUGAAGUCAUCACUUCUACUCAGCCAGGACCCAGGGCAGAGUGAGUGCAGGUGGGCAGGUGAAGGGAGGCAGUGCUAUUCUGAGGGAUAGGUGGCAGCAGAGGGUGACAAGCCUGGAUAGGGCACUGAAGACCCACUCUAGGCCACCCUCUGUGGCUCUUAUUCCUCCUGGGAGGAGUGCCAAUGGCCAGUGGCGGGCCUCAGGGGGCUCCUGCCGCAAAGGACAGUCCGUGUCCAAAUGGGGCAUGGCUAGGUCAUUUCAGAGAGCAAGGAGUUAAUCGAGUCCUUAUGUGCUCAGCCCUGGGGCCGACUCCAGAGGAGACACAAAGACACCCAAAGUUGCCCUGCAGAGGUUCCCAGCAGAGCCAGGAAACAGCCUCUUCUCCCCAGAGCUGUCCAAGAAAGCAAGACGUUGGAUGGGCCCAAACAUGCUGUGGACAAUGGGUGGAUUCUGAGUCCCACAGAACGUGGGUGGGUAGGAAUGGCAGCCAGAAAACUGCUCUGUGCAUGUAGCUGGGCACUGCCAGGGUGGCUCUUCCAUCCCUGAUGAGUGCCCUCCACCAGCCCUCUGCUGAUGCCACCCAGAGCUCACGUCCUCACAUGUUCUGACUGUGUGCUAUGCUUUCCAGGCACCUUCAUUCCCAUCUCCCUGCAGGACCCACUCACAGGACCCCUGAGAAAGAGACAGAGCAGGGGCACCCCUCUCCCUCCACUCCACAGAUGGGGAAACUGAGGUCUUGUGGCUGCCAUCUCUGGUGUACUCUGAUUCCAUCCCUCGCUUGAGGUCACAUAGCUGAUCAACAGCAGGACUGGGUCUAGAACCCGGAUUCUGGGCACCCAGUCCAGUGCAUUUGUACCUCAACAGCCAAGUUAGGGCCUUGCUGCUAUGACUCUGGGGUGCGUCAGAAGGAAUUUGGGAGGCUCCUGCUUCCCCUAUUCCUGCUGCUAAUAUGAAGUACUAUAGAUGGUGUGGUAUAAUCAAGAGUUUUAUUUCUAAUGUUUCUAGAGGCUGGAAGACCUAAAUCAAGGUGCUAGCUGACUUGGUUCCUGGAGAGAACCCUCUUCCUGGUUUGCCGACUGAGGCCUUCUUGUUGUGCGUCCUCAUGUGGCAGAGGGAGCAGUCAGAGAGCUGGGGGUGGGGGAGAGGUGGGGGCUCUGAUCUCUCUAUAAGGCCGCUAACCCACCCUCAUGACCUCAUCUAAGCCUAAUCACAUCCCAAAGGCCCCACCUCUUAAUGCUAUCACAUUGGGGGUUAGGCCUUCCACAAGCGGUUUUUGGGGGGGACACAGUUCAGUCCAUGGGACCCUCUAGGUCAUGUAUGUAUCAAACGUCAUUGCUCAGCCAACCCUGAACACGCACUAAGGGUCAGGCACUGUUAGAUCGCAGAAGGACCAGGAAGCGCAAACGGUGGAACGGGAGCACCUGUGAGCCUGGAAACGGGGAAAGCUUCCCAUAGGGCUGGUUUUGGUUCCUGGUGCCCAGGGCUCAGGCGAGUAGAGCAGUGGGAAGGGAGGCAGCUCAUUUCUGGGCUCAGAGUUGUGGAGAUGUCCCCCGGACAGCUGCCUCCCCAUGCUGGCCUUGUUCUCUGCCCACAGAUACCCUCCUGGCCCCUAACCCCGCACGGCACGGGAGCCCAGGAUCCCAGAGAGCUGUGAAGGAAGUUGUGAGUUUGCUGGGGCGCCAUUUGCAGUUUCAGCUCUCUGAAGCCUCAGCCAGGAAGUGAUCUGUCCGUCUGCCGAGGCAUGGGUUUGACCCAUGGGGCACUGACCUGGCCAGGGCUUUGCUGCCUGCCUGGCUGCUGUGACUCAGUGUGCAGCUGGCAUUUUCCAGAUGAUGACAAGAGCCCCAGGGACUCCUGCUUCUAAGCACAUAGAAGUGUGCUGCAGAGGGUCACUUCCUUGAUGUCUUGUUCCCAGAGCAGCUCUGCCAUUUGUCUGCAGGAGCCUGGGGGGCAUCGGAACUCCACCCAGCUGGACUCCCUGGCCAUCCAUCCAUCCUGCCUACUGGAGGGCCCACGGCGCAGCUCCCAACCUUGUCAGCUUGAAAUUAAAGAUGUGCUCUGUGGAACAGGGUCCUCUCCAGAGAUGCUGCGCUUUGAUUAUCCCCCCGGAAGGAGCAGCUGAUUUGGUUUCUGCUGUGGCGCUCUGGGCGGCAGGCCGGGGAGAGCCAGGGGAGGGCGAGAAGGGUGGAGAAGCAGCCGGCCCUGUGGAGCAGAGCGCCUUGCAGAGCCGAGGGAUCCAAACAGCGGGCAGGGAGCAGAAUGACCUUGUGUUUCCAUGGCCACUGUGCCAGCUCAGAGGAGAUCCUGUCAGAGAGCACGAGGCUGCUUAAGAUGGACCCACUGGAGGGUCCCAAGGACAGAACAGGAGGGCGCGUGGUGUACAUGGAUUUGCUGAGGGGCCAAGCUCCCUUCUUUGCCCUGAUCCUUCCCAUGCCUGAUAAGUUUCUUCAAAGAGAAAAUGCAAUUCUGUCUCCUCUCCCCAGCUUGCUGCUCAUAAUCCCACGGGGAAGGACCUUGCUCUGCAAAGCAAUGCAAAGAAGUAUGGGUGGAGGGGGGCAGGAGUGGGGUCCCUGUGUGUGCACUGUCUGCCUAAGGGACACAGUGUCCCCUGGGAUCUCUCUGUGCCUUGAGAUCCAUGACACUGGCCCGAACCUGUUACAUACCCUAUGGAAGUUCAGAGGUCUCUCCCAAGACCUCUCAGAAUUUCCAGAGGAGUGAGUUUAAGUUCCCGUGAUCCCCUCAGCUGAGCUCACGCUUCUGCUGGGCUUGCUCCGUGUAUGGACGUGUGCCCUGGCCCACAUGCUGCCCCAGUUCUGCAGUUUCUACUUAGAUGUGGGAUCCAAUUCCCUCCUUCAUUUUAUACCCCAAAGUCCUCACACCUGGCAUCCACACCCGUGUCAGCCUUGAGACUUAGGUGUGGGGAGACAGAAAAUCAUAUUUUGGGGGGUCAGUACCUGUUGAAAGUGGGGAAAAGCUAGCACUAGCACUUAAAGCAUGAGAGACCAAAAAGGUCUGGAUCAAAUUGAUAUAAAUGACUUUUUAAAAUAAGUUAACAGAUUAUUGAGGUAUAAUUAACACACAAUAAGCCAUCCAUAUUUAAAGUGCUUGAUUGGAUACUUUUUGAACCAUCAGCACCAUGAACAUGGCAGACAAAUCUGCCUCCGCCUGUCGCCCUGUCCCCACACCCCAGGCAACCACCUGCCUGCCUUCUUCCUGCCUCUGCAGAAGGCUUUGCGUUUCUUAGAGUUUUAUAGAAAUGGGAUCCCGUAGUAGGCACUCUUCUUGAGAUGAGAGGUUUUAUAUCCCAGAAAUGCAAACAGCUUCAUGUGGCAUAUUUGACAUACUUAUUCUUAAAAUGCUUUGCCCACUCCACCGCGAUGCCCUGCAGCCCCCACACCGCCAGGCUGUUCUAUGUCCUGCUGCUCCUGAAUUUCAUCUCAAUUUUAAUGCAGAGCCAUUCAGCUAUCUUUUUGUUUCCUUGACUUCUGUUAAUCCAUAUCCUUAGGGACUUACCAAGGUAAUUUCCUGAACAAAAGAGAGUUCCCUCCCUAAGAUCAAUUCCAGUGUCAGCUGUUAGGAUAAAUUUUUUAUCCUCUUAUGCCUAGUGAGUGUGUGGAUGUGCACUGUUUGAGAGAGUGUAGGAGUGUGUGUAGUGUGUGUGUGUGUGUGUGUGUGUGUAUGCAAGCACAUUUGGGAGUAGAAGCAUGGAUGAGGCAAAAGGAGCUAUUUUUUUCAGAAACAUUUACUGAUGCCUACCUGUAUCGCUGCCUACCUGUAUUGAUGUCUACCUGGCUAAGUGCUUUCAUACAUGAUUGCAUUUAGUCUUCACAGCAGAUAUGUGACCCAGGAAUAAGAAUUCACUUUAACAGAUGGGAGAGUGAGAUUCAAAGAGGCCAAAUAAAUU
Manis pentadactyla (Chinese pangolin) is the source of this 3974-nucleotide long non-coding RNA. RefSeq lists it as uncharacterized. NCBI's taxonomy places the organism in Eukaryota, Metazoa, Chordata, Mammalia, Pholidota, Manidae. The transcript has 3 exons. The record is from RefSeq and is a predicted model, not a curated record.